Molecule: long non-coding RNA, 714 nt
Organism: Ornithodoros turicata
Lineage: Eukaryota; Metazoa; Arthropoda; Arachnida; Ixodida; Argasidae
Exons: 4
Source: RefSeq, a predicted model, not a curated record
CGUGUGUUCGGCGUUUGUGCAUCAUGAGUCAUGACAAUCCACGCUCGGGAUGGACAAGCAUCACCCCUGAAAUGGAUGUAGUUUUCGAAUAAAGAGUGUACCACUGAUGUCACCAAAGUGGAACCAGCCACCCCACUUGGGAAUCCAGCUGGGACCUUCCACAUUCAACUGGAACCAUUCCGGGACCAUCAAACAUCCAACUGGACCCAGUCCAGAUUCAACUGGAACCAUUCUGGGACCAGUCCAGAUUUUCGCCUGGGGAGCGUUCACCAAGUGCCGGCGUUCACUUUGAGUGACCAUGACUUCGAAAGGGAAAAACAACUUUCUCAUCGUGAAAUUUCCUGGAGAAAACAACGACGUAGCUGUGGUACAUGCAAGCUGGGUGGACGGGAUGUUUUGUUGGUGGCCACCUGAGAAGAAUUCAAACAAACUGAGAACUAUGGUAAUCAAGGGACAAACACCAGCGCAAGACUGGAGAAGAGUGGAGUGCGGUGUGCUAGAUGGAUUUAGCUCCUAUGAAGAUGCAAGGAAAAAGCUCCCUGCAGCUGAACAGACAUCAGACUUGCAGUCGGAUGCAGAGCCAAAACGUGUGCGAAGGAAACCGUCUCGACUGAUACACAGCAGCAGCUCUGAUAGUGACAGUGGGCAAGCAACAUUGCCACCUCCUCCAGGUAUGAUAUCUAUACCUCUGUUAUUCAACCGCUCCCAUUUUGC